CAGGUGCUGAACUUGAAACCUGAGUUGCCCGCUCCAGCUGGGCUGUUGCUCAUCCUUACUCCCAGCCUGUGGAGGAACUGGGAAGAAUCACAGCAGGACACUACUAGAAAGCAUUGCGUUUCUGGGCUCACCCUUGUGAGGAAGACGCAACCCUGAUGGUGGAAGUUUGGCAAAGGCCACUCUGAUGAUGUCUGCAGCAGGUGGCAGGGAUGCAUGCACUGUCUGCUUCAUUUUUGCAGCCACAUCUGCUACUGGCCACAGCUACCGAAGUUCUCCUGGGAGUGGAUACGGAGAGGAUCACUGGCAUCAAACUAGUUACAUGAAUUUUGAUCAGUACUCUGUGAAUGGAGGGAUGCAGCCACACGAAUUUGAAGAUCUGUAGAUGUACUUCGGGAAGCAUUUGAAAAUCUUUCUCAGAUCAAAUGGACUACAGACCACACUUCUUUCCUCUUGUUUGUGUGUGACCCAAAUCUCAUGACCCAGGGUUCUAGCAAACACCUAAGUUGUGAAAGUCUCUCUGCUGUUGAUGGUUUCUCAGUGGGAGAAAAAAGAACAUGUG
This 559-nucleotide long non-coding RNA is filed under the name Cavia porcellus (domestic guinea pig). RNAcentral describes it as "lncRNA (ENSCPOG00000030857.1)". The record is from RNAcentral. Lineage: Eukaryota; Metazoa; Chordata; Mammalia; Rodentia; Caviidae.